This 497-nucleotide ribosomal RNA is filed under the name uncultured bacterium. Its description in RNAcentral is "partial 16S ribosomal RNA". It matches the Rfam family "Bacterial small subunit ribosomal RNA", at positions 28 to 507 of the family's 1533-position model. The record is from RNAcentral.
GAUGAACGCUGGCGGCGUGCCUAAUACAUGCAAGUCGAGCGAACAGACGAGGAGCUUGCUCCUCUGACGUUAGCGGCGGACGGGUGAGUAACACGUGGAUAACCUACCUAUAAGACUGGGAUAACUUCGGGAAACCGGAGCUAAUACCGGAUAAUAUAUUGAACCGCAUGGUUCAAUAGUGAAAGACGGUUUUGCUGUCACUUAUAGAUGGAUCCGCGCCGCAUUAGCUAGUUGGUAAGGUAACGGCUUACCAAGGCAACGAUGCGUAGCCGACCUGAGAGGGUGAUCGGCCACACUGGAACUGAGACACGGUCCAGACUCCUACGGGAGGCAGCAGUAGGGAAUCUUGCGCAAUGGGCGAAAGCUUGACGGAGCAACGCCGCGUGAGUGAUGAAGGUCUUCGGAUCGUAAAAAUCUGUUAUUAGGGAAGAACAAAUGUGUAAGUAACUAUGCACGUCUUGACGGUACCUAAUCAGAAAGCCACGGCUAACUACGUG